AGCCAGACCAUAAAAUUUUGUGCUCCAAGAGAGAAGGAUGAAAGUAUGGCAGCUCAUUCUGUUUGGUGUUUUGGUUCACCUAGUGCUGUUCUACUCCAUCUUUGACAUCUACUUCACUUCUCCUCUUGUGCACGGGAUGACGCCAGUGUCUCCCCCCACCAGAAAGCCGGCCAAGCGAUUGGUCCUGUUUGUCACCGACGGCCUGAGAGCUGACAAGUUUUUUGAGCUGGAUGAAGACGGGAAGACCCGCGCCCCUUAUCUCAGGGACGUCAUCGAGCACAGAGGUGUCUGGGGAAUUUCCCACACCCGCGUGCCCACCGAGUCACGGCCAGGCCAUGUCGCGCUGAUCGCUGGCUUCUACGAGGAUGUCAGCGCUGUGGCAAAGGGUUGGAAGGAGAACCCUGUUGAGUUUGAUUCUGUCUUCAACGAAAGUCGUCACACAUGGUCCUGGGGCAGUCCAGAUAUUCUACCAAUGUUUGCUAAAGGUGCUAGUGGAGACCAUGUGAGCACCAGCUGUUACCCUGCUGACCUGGAGGACUUCGCGGGUUCCGACAUGACUCGUUUGGACACUUGGGUCUUUGAUCAAGUGGAGGAAUUUCUCAAGUCUGCGUCUCUCAACGAGUCUCUGUCAGCUGAGCUCAAGAGGGAUAAGAUUGUAUUUUUCUUGCACCUUUUGGGGAUAGACACACAUGGACAUUCCAACAAACCACAUUCUAAAGAAUACUUGAAUAACAUUAAGCUAGUAGAUAAAGGCAUCUCUAAGAUGGUGUCAACAUUCCGAGAUUUCUACCAGGACGACGGAGAGACAGCGUUUGUGAUGACGGCUGAUCAUGGGAUGACAGACUGGGGUUCUCAUGGAGCCGGGCAUGCUCAAGAAACUUUGACUCCGUUUGUAGCAUGGGGUGCUGGAGUACGUAGUCCGGUGAAGUCGGCGAACUGUGGCGUGUACACAGACUCUUUCUGUGCAGACUGGAAACUUGAGGAUGUGCAGAGAUCAGACAUGGAACAGGCUGACGUAGCAACACUGAUGUCUCAUCUGGUUGGAAUUCCUUUUCCCGUCAAUUCUGUGGGACGACUGCCCGUCGAUAUUCUCAAUGCCUCUCGUGGAGAGAAGGCCGAGGCACUGCUUGCCAAUGCUGAACAAAUCCUGGCGCAGUUUCAAGUGAAGAUGGAUCAGAUCAAAGAUCGCACCAUCGCUGCAACGUUCAGGCCAUUUCAGGAACUGAUUGAGGCUGAGAAGCUCCAAAGUUUGAAGCACAUACGGAAGCUCAUCCAUGGAGGACAGUAUGAAGAUGCAGUGUCAGAGACUCAUCUUCUGAUUGACAAAGCUUUGCAAGGACUUCGCUACUACCAGACAUACGACCGCGUAUUUCUCGGCAUCAGCGUGGUCUUCGGGUUCCUGGGCUGGGUGUGCUACGUGCUGUACCUGGUGGUUCUCGAGCACACUGCUGUGGGUCAGGCCAGCGCCAGGAUAACCGCUGGUCACUCGGAGGGACACACUAGACUUCUUCUGUUUGGCUCCAUGGCUCUCAUCAUCUGUAUUUUGUUGGCAGUGCAAUCUCUCCACAUGAUGUGCUACGUUUACUGCCUCAUGCCUGUGUUGUUGUGGUACAAGGCCUGCCAAGGCCUGCGACUGCUACAGUACACUGUGCGAUGGACGCUGGCAAACAGACAGUUGGGACGUUUUGUCUUGUCAGUCGUCGUCAGUGCUGCUGGUCUGGAGAUAAUAGUCCUGAGCUUCUAUUACAGACAGCUGCUCUCUGUGGGUCUACUAGCCAUGUCCCUGUGGCCCAUCAUCCAGUCCAGAGGUCAAGGAAGGGUCAUGGGGCGGCCCUGGAUUGCUGUCGGCUGGUCUCUCACAUGCACGCUGGUGGGAAUGUUCCCUUUGAUGCCUGUGGUCGGAAGGGAGACGAGAUAUGCGUUGGUGACAUCCAGUGGUCUCCUUGCUGUGUUUAUUGGUGCUCUAAUCCUUUACAGGGUGUCAUUUUCAAGACAUUUCAAGAUUCUCUGUGGUUUCCAGCUGAUGCUGAUAGCUGUGUCAGUCCUGACGGUCAAGCUGACAUCUGAGAGUAUCGCUGACAGGCAGGGACUGCCCUGGUUCUGUCAGCUCUGUAGCUGGUUGGUGCUGGGUGUUUCAGAAUGUGGACUUCAAACAAGAUGGCUUGAUCAAAGACGAUAUAUCAUCAGCCACAUUUUCCCGCCAUUUGGAGCUGUCGGACCUCAGAAGGGCUUUCUAUUUUAUAUUUCUGAUCUUGACUGCGUUUUUUGGGACAGGAAAUAUUGCCAGCAUCAACAGCUUUGACCCGGCCUCGGUCUACUGCUUCCUGACCGUGUUCAAUCCUUUCCUGAUGGGAGCCCUCAUGAUGCUCAAGAAUAUGAUUCC
This 2383-nucleotide unclassified non-coding RNA is filed under the name Aplysia californica (California sea hare). Its description in RNAcentral is "gPI ethanolamine phosphate transferase 1, transcript variant X2". The record is from RNAcentral. Lineage: Eukaryota; Metazoa; Mollusca; Gastropoda; Aplysiida; Aplysiidae.